This 235-nucleotide ribosomal RNA is filed under the name uncultured bacterium. Its description in RNAcentral is "partial 16S ribosomal RNA". It matches the Rfam family "Bacterial small subunit ribosomal RNA", at positions 97 to 334 of the family's 1533-position model. The record is from RNAcentral.
GGCGGACGGGUGAGUAAUGUAUAGUUAAUCUGCCCUUUAGAGGGGGAUAACAGUUGGAAACGACUGCUAAUACCCCAUACUCCUUUUACAUUAAUUGUAAUUGGGAAAUGUUUUUUCGCUAAAGGAUGAGACUAUAUGGUAUCAGGUAGUUGGUGGGGUAAGAGCCUACCAGGCCAAUGACGCCUAGCUGGUCUGAGAGGAUGAUCAGCCACACUGGAACUGAGACACGGUCCAG